ACACACGGAUAACAUACCGAAAGGUAUGCUAAUACGGGAUAAUAUAUUUGAGAGGCAUCUCUUGAAUAUCAAAGGUGAGCCAGUACAGGAUGGACCCGCGUCUGAUUAGCUAGUUGGUAAGGUAACGGCUUACCAAGGCGACGAUCAGUAGCCGACCUGAGAGGGUGAUCGGCCACAUUGGAACUGAGACACGGUCCAAACUCCUACGGGAGGCAGCAGUGGGGAAUAUUGCACAAUGGGCGAAAGCCUGAUGCAGCAACGCCGCGUGAGUGAUGAAGGCCUUCGGGUCGUAAAACUCUGUCCUCAAGGAAGAUAAUGACGGUACUUGAGGAGGAAGCCCCGGCUAACUACGUGCCGGCAGCCGCGGUAAUACGUAGGGGGCUAGCGUUAUCCGGAUUUACUGGGCGUAAAGGGUGCGUAGGCGGUCUUUCAAGUCAGGAGUGAAAGGCUACGGCUCAACCGUAGUAAGCUCUUGAAACUGGGAGACUUGAGUGCAGGAGAGGAGAGUGGAAUUCCUAGUGUAGCGGUGAAAUGCGUAGAUAUUAGGAGGAACACCAGUUGCGAAGGCGGCUCUCCGGACUGUAACUGACGCUGAGGCACGAAAGCGUGGGGAGCAAACAGGAUUAGAUACCCUGGUAGUCCACGCUGUAAACGAUGAGUACUAGGUGUCGGGGGUUACCCCCUUCGGUGCCGCAGCUA
Molecule: ribosomal RNA, 699 nt
Filed under: uncultured bacterium
Lineage: Bacteria
Description: bacterial SSU rRNA
Rfam family: Bacterial small subunit ribosomal RNA
Source: RNAcentral